UACGGAGGGAGCUAGCGUUGUUCGGAAUUACUGGGCGUAAAGCGCACGUAGGCGGCUUUGUAAGUUAGAGGUGAAAGCCCGGAGCUCAACUCCGGAAUUGCCUUUAAGACUGCAUCGCUCGAAUCAUGGAGAGGUGAGUGGAAUUCCGAGUGUAGAGGUGAAAUUCGUAGAUAUUCGGAAGAACACCAGUGGCGAAGGCGACUCACUGGACAUGUAUUGACGCUGAGGUGCGAAAGCGUGGAGAGCAAACAGGAUUAGAAACCUGGU
Molecule: ribosomal RNA, 267 nt
Filed under: uncultured bacterium
Lineage: Bacteria
Description: partial 16S ribosomal RNA
Rfam family: Bacterial small subunit ribosomal RNA
Source: RNAcentral